RNAcentral lists this ribosomal RNA (173 nucleotides) under Gastrotheca fissipes (Igaracu marsupial frog). RNAcentral describes it as "partial 16S ribosomal RNA". Lineage: Eukaryota; Metazoa; Chordata; Amphibia; Anura; Hemiphractidae. The record is from RNAcentral.
ACGUGAUCUGAGUUCAGACCGGAGCAAUCCAGGUCAGUUUCUAUCUAUAAGAAAUUUUUUCUAGUACGAAAGGACCGAAAUAAUAUAGCCAAUGCCUACAGUAAGCUAUUUCUACUAACUUUUGAAUUCAACUCAACUAGCAAGUAGUUCCCUACAUAGUUCUAAACCAGAGC